GUCCUCUUGUUUGUAUAUGAGGUCUGACCUGCCCGGUGAAAUUUGUUUUAACGGCCGCAGUAUUUUGACUGUGCAAAGGUAGCAUAAUCAUUAGUCUUUUAAUAGGGGGCUGGUAUGAAGGGUUUGACGAGGUGUUUACUGUCUCAUUUAAUUUGUAUUUAGAAUUUAACUUUUCAGUUAAAAGGCUGAAAUUAUAUUGGAAGACGAGAAGACCCUAUAGAGCUUUAUAAUUAAAAUUUUAAUUAUUUUUUGUUUAUUAUUUUUUAUUAUUAUUUUAAUUAUUUUGUUGGGGUGACAAAAAUAUAUAAUUAACUUUUUUAUUUAAUUAACAUUGAUUUAUGAUUAUUAGAUCCAUUAUUAGUGAUUGUUAGAUUAAGUUACCUUAGGGAUAACAGCGUAAUCUUCCUUCAGAGUUCAUAUUUACGGGAAGGCUUGCGACCUCGAUGUUGGAUUAAGAUAAUAAUUAGGUGUAGCCGCUUAAUAUAUAGGUCUGUUCGACCUUUAAAUUCUU
This 511-nucleotide ribosomal RNA is filed under the name Asiagomphus hainanensis. RNAcentral describes it as "partial 16S ribosomal RNA". It matches the Rfam family "Bacterial large subunit ribosomal RNA", at positions 1831 to 2597 of the family's 2925-position model. Lineage: Eukaryota; Metazoa; Arthropoda; Insecta; Odonata; Aeshnidae. The record is from RNAcentral.